RNAcentral lists this ribosomal RNA (468 nucleotides) under uncultured bacterium. RNAcentral's name for it is "partial 16S ribosomal RNA". It matches the Rfam family "Bacterial small subunit ribosomal RNA", at positions 28 to 507 of the family's 1533-position model. The record is from RNAcentral.
GAUGAACGCUGGCGGCGUGCUUAACACAUGCAAGUCGAACGGAAAGGCCCAAGCUUGCUUGGGUACUCGAUUGGCGAACGGGUGCGUAUCACGUGUGUAAUCUGCCCUGCACUACGGGAUAUGCCUGCGAAACUGGGUCUACUACCGGAUAUGAUGAUUUUUUCGGUGCCAUUGUGGAAAGUUUUUUCGCUGUGGUAUGAGCUCGCGGCGUAUCAGCUUGUUGUUGGGGUCGUGGCCUAGCAGGGCGUCGAGGGGUAGCCGGCAUGCGAGGGUGUACGGCCGGUCUGGGCCCGUGCUACGGGCCAGAGUACGGAGGGGGGCAGCAGUGGGGAAUACCGGACAAUGGGAGCACGCGUGAGGCAGGGAGGCCGCGGGGGGGAUGACGGCCUUCGGGUUGUAAACACAUCUCGCUAGGGAAGAAGCGGUGUUGUGACGGUACCUGGAGAAGAAGCACCGGCUAACUACGUG